CUGGCCCUAAACGGUGCGCAUUUGCUGUGAGCGGAAUCGACCCCGCUAGUGGCGAAGCUAACGCGUUAAAUGCGCCGCCUGGGAANCGCGAAGAACCUUACCUGGCCUUGACAUGCAAAUAGUAGAAGCCUGAAAGGGUGACGAUUCCGCAAGGAAAGUUUGCACAGGUGC
Molecule: ribosomal RNA, 171 nt
Filed under: uncultured bacterium
Lineage: Bacteria
Description: partial 16S ribosomal RNA
Source: RNAcentral